GUGCUCGCUUCGGCAGCAGAUAUACUAAAAUUGGAAUGAUACAGAAAAGAUUAGCAUGGCCCCUGCACAAGGAUGACACGCAAAUUCGUGAAGCAUUCCAUAUUUUU
Callithrix jacchus (white-tufted-ear marmoset) is the source of this 107-nucleotide small nuclear RNA. The record is from Ensembl. Lineage: Eukaryota; Metazoa; Chordata; Mammalia; Primates; Cebidae.